This 330-nucleotide ribosomal RNA is filed under the name uncultured eukaryote. RNAcentral's name for it is "partial 18S ribosomal RNA". It matches the Rfam family "Eukaryotic small subunit ribosomal RNA", at positions 1470 to 1796 of the family's 1831-position model. The record is from RNAcentral.
CCCUUAGAUGUUCUGGGCCGCACGCGCGCUACACUGAUGCAUUCAACGAGUCUAAAACCUGGUCUGAUAGGGCUGGGUAAUCUUUUGAAAGUGCAUCGUGAUUGGGAUAGAUGAUUGCAAUUCUUCAUCUUCAACGAGGAAUGCCUAGUAAACGCAAGUCAUCAGCUUGCAUUGAUUACGUCCCUGCCCUUUGUACACACCGCCCGUCGCUCCUACCGAUUGAAUGAUCCGAUGAAUACCAUGGAUUGAGAGUUCGAACAGGUUCUCCUGUUUCAGCUUCUCGGGAAGUGGAGUAAAUCUUAUCAUUUAGAGGAAGGAGAAGUCGUAACA